Molecule: ribosomal RNA, 494 nt
Filed under: uncultured bacterium
Lineage: Bacteria
Description: partial 16S ribosomal RNA
Rfam family: Bacterial small subunit ribosomal RNA
Source: RNAcentral
GACGAACGCUGGCGGCGUGCUUAACACAUGCAAGUCGAACGGAAAGGCCUGCUUUCCCUUGUGGAUUGCGGGUACUCGAGUGGCGAACGGGUGAGUAACACGUGAGUGAUCUGCCCCCAACUUGGGUAUAAGCCUGGGAAACUGGGUCUAAUUCCCGAUAGGACUGCAGGGUGGUGCCUGUGGUGGAAAACGAUUUUCUAGUGGUUGGGGAUGAGCUCGCGGCCUAUCAGCUUGUUGGUGGGGUAAUGGCCUACCAAGGCGGCGACGGGUAGCCGGCCUGAGAGGGUGGACGGCCACAUUGGGACUGAGAUACGGCCCAGACUCCUACGGGAGGCAGCAGUGGGGAAUAUUGCACAAUGGGCGGAAGCCUGAUGCAGCGACGCCGCGUGGGUGAUGACGGCCUUCGGGUUGUAAACUCCUUUCGACCGCGAGGAAGCCACCUGGUUGGAAGGGUGGUGACGGUAGUGGUAGAAGAAGCACCGGCUAACUACGUG